This is a non-coding RNA of Pelobates cultripes (western spadefoot toad), 396 nucleotides long. The record is from the annotation of a GenBank genome assembly. NCBI's taxonomy places the organism in Eukaryota, Metazoa, Chordata, Amphibia, Anura, Pelobatidae.
CGGAUCCAUUGUUCUCCAGCAGGGUGUUGUCCCAGGGACACUGCCAAACCAGUGGGAACUGGUUUGCCAGGAAAAAUCAUGCUUACAAGUGAAAACAAAGGACUUCGACCUAACCGUUAAACCCCUGAACCUAUUCAAGUGAAUUUUGGAUAUGUUUGUCCCCAAGUUAUACUGGUUAAAAUAAUAUAAGUUUUAUGUAUGUACGAUGUUAACUCACAAAGUUAUAAAAAUGUACAAAAAGUAACUUUUCAGCUUGGAGAUAAUUGAGUAGAUACAGUAAUUGACUCAAUUAUCUCCUAAGCAGAAGGGAGGAAUAUGCUGGGUGUGUUUCUAUUUUCCCAUUGUGUCUGAUUGGCUGCUGUACUUGCAUUGUAUGUGUUGUAAUGUGUUUAUUGG